This 497-nucleotide ribosomal RNA is filed under the name uncultured bacterium. RNAcentral's name for it is "partial 16S ribosomal RNA". It matches the Rfam family "Bacterial small subunit ribosomal RNA", at positions 28 to 507 of the family's 1533-position model. The record is from RNAcentral.
GAUGAACGCUGGCGGCGUGCCUAAUACAUGCAAGUCGAGCGAACAGACGAGUAGUUUGCUCCUCUGACGUUAGCGGCGGACGUGUGAGUAACACGUGGAUAACCUACCUAUAAGACUGUGAUAACUUCGGGAAACCGGAGCUAAUACCGGAUAACAUGUUGAACCGCAUGGUUCAAUAGUGAAAGCCGGUUUUGCUGUCACGUAUAGAUGGAUCCGCGUCGCAUUAGCUAGUUGGUAAGGUAAGGGCUUACCAAGGAAACGAUGCGUAGCCGGCCUGAGAGGGUGAUCGGCCACACUGGAACUGAGACACGGCCCAGACUCCUACGGGAGGCAGCAGUAGGGAAUCUUCGGCAAUGGGCAAAAGCCUGACGGAGCAACGCCGCGUGAGUGAAGAAGGUCUUCGGAUCGUAAAGCUCUGUUAUUAGGAAAGAACAAAUGUGUAAGUAACUAUGCACGUCUUGACGGUACCUAAUCAGAAAGCCCCGGCUAACUACGUG